RNAcentral lists this ribosomal RNA (495 nucleotides) under uncultured bacterium. Its description in RNAcentral is "bacterial SSU rRNA". It matches the Rfam family "Bacterial small subunit ribosomal RNA", at positions 903 to 1397 of the family's 1533-position model. The record is from RNAcentral.
AAAUGAAUUGACGGGGGCCCGCACAAGCGGAGGAACAUGUGGUUUAAUUCGAUGAUACGCGAGGAACCUUACCCGGGCUUGAAAUGUACUCGACGGACAUGGAAACAUGUCUUCCAGCAAUGGCGAGUAUGUAGGUGCUGCAUGGUUGUCGUCAGCUCGUGCCGUGAGGUGUCGGCUUAAGUGCCAUAACGAGCGCAACCCUUAUCGUUAGUUACUAACAGGUUAAGCUGAGGACUCUAGCGAGACUGCCACCGUAAGGUGUGAGGAAGGUGGGGAUGACGUCAAAUCAGCACGGCCCUUACGUCCGGGGCGACACACGUGUUACAAUGGAUGGUACAGAGGGUAGCUACCAGGUGACUGGAUGCCAAUCUCAUAAAGCCAUUCUCAGUUCGGAUCGGAGUCUGCAACUCGACUCCGUGAAGCUGGAUUCGCUAGUAAUCGCGCAUCAGCCAUGGCGCGGUGAAUACGUUCCCGGGCCUUGUACACACCGCCCGU